Myotis brandtii (Brandt's bat) is the source of this 656-nucleotide long non-coding RNA. RefSeq lists it as uncharacterized. The record is from RefSeq and is a predicted model, not a curated record. Lineage: Eukaryota; Metazoa; Chordata; Mammalia; Chiroptera; Vespertilionidae. The transcript has 3 exons.
CGGAGGGUGUGUGGGAGGCGGUGGCUGUCGCUCACUGACGCCUCCUGCGACCACCUGACUCCCAGAGCUACCCCCGCAGAGAGUUGUAACUGCACGCGUUGCCUUCUUGCAGCAAAUAACUAAACUGUGACUCGCAGCUGCUGCUGCAAUUUUUAGGGACUGCUUCAGGAGCAACAUGGAAACGAGGUUGGAUGAAAAAGGAUGAGAAGAGAUGUGCAGAACCUUCUGGGAAAGGUUCAUUCUCACAAGAGAAUCAUAGGAAGAAACAUCCUCUCUUUAUCUGGACCUUGAGGAAGGAAGAUGUGAAGGCAGCAUUUUGCCAUGGGAAAAGUCAGUGUAAGGACGAAUCCAACAAACAGAGGAAUAACAAACAGUCUUGGCAGGCAGGAUUAAGUUAAACCUGAAGGGUUCUCUGCUCUGGAAUUCCAUUAUGUGGACCCAUGAAUUCCCAGUUACUGAGCCAGUAAAAACUCAGUUCAGUCUGAGUUCCUGUUACUUUCAAGCAAAAGUAUCCUAACUGCAAAGAUUUCUGUGAAUUCCUAACUACUGGACCCUGAUCCUGGGGCAAUGCAAGAGAACUCAUGAAUAACAAUCUGAACAAACAAAUAUAAGUAAACUUCCAGUCAAACCAUUAAGAGGGAAACCUCAACAGCAAG